Prinia subflava (tawny-flanked prinia) is the source of this 1322-nucleotide long non-coding RNA. RefSeq lists it as uncharacterized. The record is from RefSeq and is a predicted model, not a curated record. The transcript has 5 exons. NCBI's taxonomy places the organism in Eukaryota, Metazoa, Chordata, Aves, Passeriformes, Cisticolidae.
AGAAAAAGGAUGAAAUAUUCCACUUUGUCAAGAUGCAAGGUUUUGAACAGAAAAUAUCUCCCAGGCAUGUUUAGGAAGAAAUUCUUCAGGAAUGAAAAAGCAGGAAAUGAUCAUACAUCCUUCACUUGCUUCCUCCAAGUCUGUGAGAAGAUGUUGAGGACUCUCAGGGCCAGUCUGACAGAUGAAGGACAAGUCUCUAAUAAAUGAGAAGGAGGACAGCCGAACAGAGAAGGUGCACUCAGAAAUGGAUGAAGAAAAAAAUAUUAAAGAAAAAUUUUCCUGUGACAAAUUUACACAGAAAAUGCACAACCUCACUGUGAGCUGUUUGUCAUAUUCACAGGUUUGGAGAGUCUACAAGCAACAGAAAUAUAAGAAAUUCAUUUUUGACAAAUGAAAAUAUAAGAAGAUUUAUAAAAGCUCUAGCCUACUUUUAUUUUUUUUUAUUACCCAGAAUUUUAAUUCUUCUUGCCUGUGAAAUGCUUUUAAACAGAGUAGACCUUAGUUUUUAAAAUAGGCUUUAAAAUAGUUUUUUGCAAAUAAUUUCUUUAGGUUUUGCUUUCUUCACUGUAAUUCUUUAGAAGUAUUCCAACUACAUAUUUCUUUUUCUUAAGUGAUGUAAACCCCUUUUCUGCUGUAUUCACUUUCUGGGCCCCAUUUUUGGCUGCAGCUUUGAGGAGAUGUUGUAUCACCUAAUUCUCAGGGUGGAGAGUACAGUAUCCCUAUCAGUAUUCAAGAAUGAUUAAUCCUCAAUUCUUUCUGCUGUGGAGAAUGCCUAGCCUAAAGGUGCACAACAUAUUCUAAAGCAGAACAAAACAUUUCCUGGUCUGCAGUCAGGCACUUUCCUUUAGAGAGUCUGAGGGUUUCAGACUGUGGAAAGAUGUCAUUCAGUGUCAGCUGACCUAAAUGCCAGAGAACAGCCUGAGUACAUUUAAUUUACCAAUGUAGGCAUAUCAUAUGACUCGCAAGGUCUAGCUGAGGGAGCUUUCUCAUUAUGCUACUGUCAGAUUCUCUUCUAUAUUCAAAAAUAUUACAUUCUUGAAUAUAAAGCAGCCUGAAUUAAUACAAGUAUUGCCUUGGAAAUAAGAAGCAUUUGGACAAUAUUUUUAGUAACAUGCUUUAAUAUUUGGUCAGCCUUGAAUUGGUCAGACAGUUGGACUAGAAGAUUGUUGUAGGUCCCUUCCACCUGGAACUAUUCUAUUCUAUUCUAUUCUAUUCUAUUCUAUUCUAUUCUAUUCUAUUCUAUUCUAUUCUAUUCUAUUCUAUUCUAUUCUAUUCUAUUCUAUUCUAUUCUAUUCUAUUCUAUUCUAUUCUAUUCUAUUCUA